Molecule: ribosomal RNA, 484 nt
Filed under: uncultured bacterium
Lineage: Bacteria
Description: partial 16S ribosomal RNA
Rfam family: Bacterial small subunit ribosomal RNA
Source: RNAcentral
AUUGAACGCUGGCGGCAGGCCUAACACAUGCAAGUCGAGCGGAUGAAGGGAGCUUGCUCCUGGAUUCAGCGGCGGACGGGUGAGUAAUGCCUAGGAAUCUGCCUGGUAGUGGGGGAUAACGUCCGGAAACGGGCGCUAAUACCGCAUACGUCCUGAGGGAGAAAGUGGGGGAUCUUCGGACCUCACGCUGUCAGAUGAGCCUAGGUCGGAUUAGCUAGUUGGUGGGGUAAAGGCCUACCAAGGCGACGAUCCGUAACUGGUCUGAGAGGAUGAUCAGUCACACUGGAAGUGAGACGCGGUCCAGACUCCUACGGGAGGCAGCAGUGGGGAAUAUUGGACAAUGGGCGAAAGCCUGAUCCAGCCAUGCCGCGUGUGUGAAGAAGGUCUUCGGAUUGUAAAGCACUUUAAGUUGGGAGGAAGGGCAGUAAGUUAAUACCUUGCUGUUUUGACGUUACCAACAGAAUAAGCACCGGCUAACUUCGUG